UGUCCUGAGAGGUCAGAUUGCUGUCAGACAUGGCCCAUGGACAUGAACAUGAACAUGGUCCUAGUAAAAUGGAACUUCCAGAUUAUAAACAAUGGAAGAUAGAAGGGACACCAUUGGAAACUAUCCAGGAGAAACUGGCUGCACGAGGACUAAGGGAUCCAUGGGGCCGCAAUGAAGCUUGGAGAUACAUGGGUGGCUUUGCAAAUAAUGUUUCCUUUGUUGGAGCAUUAUUAAAAGGAUUCAAGUGGGGAUUUGCUGCAUUUGUGGAAGCUGUAGGGGCUGAAUAUUACCUGGAGUCCCAGAAAAAAGAUAAGAAACAUCACUGAAGAUAAUACCUGGAAAUAUCUUUUAAUGUCGUAACUUUCUUAUAAAAAGAUUUCUUCACUGUAGCCUACUCACCUGUGUGUUUAUUCCUUAAGGAAUACUAGUAAGAUUUAAUAAAAUACGAAAACAUGU
Odocoileus virginianus texanus is the source of this 456-nucleotide non-coding RNA. The record is from RefSeq and is a predicted model, not a curated record. NCBI's taxonomy places the organism in Eukaryota, Metazoa, Chordata, Mammalia, Artiodactyla, Cervidae.